AGUGAACGCUGGCGGUAGGCCUAACACAUGCAAGUCGAACGGCAGCACAGUAAGAGCUUGCUCUUACGGGUGGCGAGUGGCGGACGGGUGAGGAAUACAUCGGAAUCUACUUUUUCGUGGGGGAUAACGUAGGGAAACUUAUGCUAAUACCGCAUACGACCUACGGGUGAAAGCAGGGGAUCUUCGGACCUUGCGCGAUUGAAUGAGCCGAUGUCGGAUUAGCUAGUUGGCGGGGUAAAGGCCCACCAAGGCGACGAUCCGUAGCUGGUCUGAGAGGAUGAUCGGCCACACUGGAACUGAGACACGGUCCAGACUCCUACGGGAGGCAGCGGUGGGGAAUAUUAGACAAUGGGCGCAAGCCUGAUCCAGCCAUACCGCGUGGGUGAAGAAGGCCUUCGGGUUGUAAAGCCCUUUUGUUGGGAAAGAAAAGCAGCAGGUUAAUACCCCGCUGUUCUGACGGUACCCAAAGAAUAAGCACCGGCUAACUUCGUG
RNAcentral lists this ribosomal RNA (492 nucleotides) under uncultured bacterium. RNAcentral's name for it is "partial 16S ribosomal RNA". It matches the Rfam family "Bacterial small subunit ribosomal RNA", at positions 29 to 507 of the family's 1533-position model. The record is from RNAcentral.